RNAcentral lists this ribosomal RNA (2922 nucleotides) under Bacillus thuringiensis. Its description in RNAcentral is "23S ribosomal RNA". It matches the Rfam family "Bacterial large subunit ribosomal RNA". Lineage: Bacteria; Bacillati; Bacillota; Bacilli; Caryophanales; Bacillaceae. The record is from RNAcentral.
GGUUAAGUUAGAAAGGGCGCACGGUGGAUGCCUUGACACUAGGAGUCGAUGAAGGACGGGACUAACGCCGAUAUGCUUCGGGGAGCUGUAAGUAAGCUUUGAUCCGAAGAUUUCCGAAUGGGGAAACCCACCAUACGUAAUGGUAUGGUAUCCUUAUCUGAAUACAUAGGGUAAGGAAGACAGACCCAGGGAACUGAAACAUCUAAGUACCUGGAGGAAGAGAAAGCAAAUGCGAUUUCCUGAGUAGCGGCGAGCGAAACGGAACAUAGCCCAAACCAAGAGGCUUGCCUCUUGGGGUUGUAGGACAUUCUAUACGGAGUUACAAAGGAACGAGGUAGACGAAGCGACCUGGAAAGGUCCGUCGUAGAGGGUAACAACCCCGUAGUCGAAACUUCGUUCUCUCUUGAAUGUAUCCUGAGUACGGCGGAACACGUGAAAUUCCGUCGGAAUCUGGGAGGACCAUCUCCCAAGGCUAAAUACUCCCUAGUGAUCGAUAGUGAACCAGUACCGUGAGGGAAAGGUGAAAAGCACCCCGGAAGGGGAGUGAAAGAGAUCCUGAAACCGUGUGCCUACAAAUAGUCAGAGCCCGUUAACGGGUGAUGGCGUGCCUUUUGUAGAAUGAACCGGCGAGUUACGAUCCCGUGCGAGGUUAAGCUGAAGAGGCGGAGCCACAGCGAAAGCGAGUCUGAAUAGGGCGUUUAGUACGUGGUCGUAGACCCGAAACCAGGUGAUCUACCCAUGUCCAGGGUGAAGUUCAGGUAACACUGAAUGGAGGCCCGAACCCACGCACGUUGAAAAGUGCGGGGAUGAGGUGUGGGUAGCGGAGAAAUUCCAAUCGAACCUGGAGAUAGCUGGUUCUCCCCGAAAUAGCUUUAGGGCUAGCCUUAAGUGUAAGAGUCUUGGAGGUAGAGCACUGAUUGGACUAGGGGUCCUCAUCGGAUUACCGAAUUCAGUCAAACUCCGAAUGCCAAUGACUUAUCCUUAGGAGUCAGACUGCGAGUGAUAAGAUCCGUAGUCAAAAGGGAAACAGCCCAGACCGCCAGCUAAGGUCCCAAAGUGUGUAUUAAGUGGAAAAGGAUGUGGAGUUGCUUAGACAACUAGGAUGUUGGCUUAGAAGCAGCCACCAUUUGAAGAGUGCGUAAUAGCUCACUAGUCGAGUGACUCUGCGCCGAAAAUGUACCGGGGCUAAAUACACCACCGAAGCUGCGGAUUGAUACCAAUGGUAUCAGUGGUAGGGGAGCGUUCUAAGGACAGUGAAGUCAGACCGGAAGGACUGGUGGAGUGCUUAGAAGUGAGAAUGCCGGUAUGAGUAGCGAAAGACGGGUGAGAAUCCCGUCCACCGAAUGCCUAAGGUUUCCUGAGGAAGGCUCGUCCGCUCAGGGUUAGUCAGGACCUAAGCCGAGGCCGACAGGCGUAGGCGAUGGACAACAGGUUGAUAUUCCUGUACCACCUCUUUAUCGUUUGAGCAAUGGAGGGACGCAGAAGGAUAGAAGAAGCGUGCGAUUGGUUGUGCACGUCCAAGCAGUUAGGCUGAUAAGUAGGCAAAUCCGCUUAUCGUAAAGGCUGAGCUGUGAUGGGGAAGCUCCUUAUGGAGCGAAGUCUUUGAUUCCCCGCUGCCAAGAAAAGCUUCUAGCGAGAUAAAAGGUGCCUGUACCGCAAACCGACACAGGUAGGCGAGGAGAGAAUCCUAAGGUGUGCGAGAGAACUCUGGUUAAGGAACUCGGCAAAAUGACCCCGUAACUUCGGGAGAAGGGGUGCUUUCUUAACGGAAAGCCGCAGUGAAUAGGCCCAAGCGACUGUUUAGCAAAAACACAGCUCUCUGCGAAGCCGUAAGGCGAAGUAUAGGGGGUGACACCUGCCCGGUGCUGGAAGGUUAAGGAGAGGGGUUAGCGUAAGCGAAGCUCUGAACUGAAGCCCCAGUAAACGGCGGCCGUAACUAUAACGGUCCUAAGGUAGCGAAAUUCCUUGUCGGGUAAGUUCCGACCCGCACGAAAGGUGUAACGAUUUGGGCACUGUCUCAACCAGAGACUCGGUGAAAUUAUAGUACCUGUGAAGAUGCAGGUUACCCGCGACAGGACGGAAAGACCCCGUGGAGCUUUACUGUAGCCUGAUAUUGAAUUUUGGUACAGUUUGUACAGGAUAGGCGGGAGCCAUUGAAACCGGAGCGCUAGCUUCGGUGGAGGCGCUGGUGGGAUACCGCCCUGACUGUAUUGAAAUUCUAACCUACGGGUCUUAUCGACCCGGGAGACAGUGUCAGGUGGGCAGUUUGACUGGGGCGGUCGCCUCCUAAAGUGUAACGGAGGCGCCCAAAGGUUCCCUCAGAAUGGUUGGAAAUCAUUCGUAGAGUGCAAAGGCAUAAGGGAGCUUGACUGCGAGACCUACAAGUCGAGCAGGGACGAAAGUCGGGCUUAGUGAUCCGGUGGUUCCGCAUGGAAGGGCCAUCGCUCAACGGAUAAAAGCUACCCCGGGGAUAACAGGCUUAUCUCCCCCAAGAGUCCACAUCGACGGGGAGGUUUGGCACCUCGAUGUCGGCUCAUCGCAUCCUGGGGCUGUAGUCGGUCCCAAGGGUUGGGCUGUUCGCCCAUUAAAGCGGUACGCGAGCUGGGUUCAGAACGUCGUGAGACAGUUCGGUCCCUAUCCGUCGUGGGCGUAGGAAAUUUGAGAGGAGCUGUCCUUAGUACGAGAGGACCGGGAUGGACGCACCGCUGGUGUACCAGUUGUUCUGCCAAGGGCAUAGCUGGGUAGCUAUGUGCGGAAGGGAUAAGUGCUGAAAGCAUCUAAGCAUGAAGCCCCCCUCAAGAUGAGAUUUCCCAUAGCGUAAGCUAGUAAGAUCCCUGAAAGAUGAUCAGGUUGAUAGGUUCGAGGUGGAAGCAUGGUGACAUGUGGAGCUGACGAAUACUAAUAGAUCGAGGACUUAACCAU